AAAUUGAAGAGUUUGAUCAUGGCUCAGAUUGAACGCUGGCGGCAGGCCUAACACAUGCAAGUCGAGCGGAAACGACACUAAUAAUCCUUCGGGUGCGUUAAUGGGCGUCGAGCGGCGGACGGGUGAGUAAUGCCUAGGAAAUUGCCUUGAUGUGGGGGAUAACCAUUGGAAACGAUGGCUAAUACCGCAUAAUGCCUACGGGCCAGAGAGGGGGACCUUCGG
Molecule: ribosomal RNA, 222 nt
Filed under: Vibrio sp. ZF 223
Lineage: Bacteria; Pseudomonadati; Pseudomonadota; Gammaproteobacteria; Vibrionales; Vibrionaceae
Description: partial 16S ribosomal RNA
Rfam family: Bacterial small subunit ribosomal RNA
Source: RNAcentral